This 205-nucleotide long non-coding RNA is filed under the name Elaeis guineensis (African oil palm). Its description in RNAcentral is "long non-coding RNA (EGUI_LNC000308)". The record is from RNAcentral. Lineage: Eukaryota; Viridiplantae; Streptophyta; Magnoliopsida; Arecales; Arecaceae.
GCCUAAGCAACUUAAAGCUGGUUGGUGUACUGUAUGUGAAACAUUAGCACACACGGACACCAAAGCAUGCUGCACUGUAAAACAUAAUUUAUUAUGCUUUCAUCUACACAAACACCUUGUUACUAUGACCGAUUUUCCUUGUAGAAAUGCUAUUUACAAUCAGUAUGAAGUCCAAAGAAUUUCACAAAGAAGAAGAAGAAGUGCC